CGUAUUGUUAAGUAUAGUAAGUGUAUUUUUUUAUGAUAUUUUAUCACACAAUAUGCCAUCCUCAUCUUGGCAAUUCCGUGGUAAAGUUCAAACAUAGACUAUAACAGAUUAUAGGCACAGACUACAGCAUAGACAUUGGCCUAGGUUUUAAGUCAAACAUGAAUUUAAAUAAAGUCAUAUGGAACUGGAGCAGAGCCAAAUCCUCGCUCCAGCCUUUGAAUUGAAAACCGUUCUGCGCUCCACCAUAUUUCUUCCACUUCGCUCCGCUCACAUGAUCGGUCCCUGACCUUUACUGAUUCCAGUUGGCCCUGAAGUGCUUUAUCUAAGUUUUUUAUGUGAUCUUGGAUUUUGGGCCACUUCUUAGUCAAAGCAGCCUAAAUAAAUGAUGAAGUGUAGGGUUUGGCUGAAGACAUCCUGGUUGCACAGUAUCUUCUGGCCAAGUAAAAAAAAAAUCUAAACAAAGGGUCAAGAAGGGGAGUGAUGGAAGACAAAAUAAUAACUAACUUACAGGUUUGCAACCGACUGGGCUUUUCUUGCUAAGUUACACUAAUGUACAAUCAGUCAAAAAAACAUUGUUCCUAUCAACUCAUAUUGAUUUCAGUGCUUUAAAUUUUUUUCAUCCUCUAAAAUAUUCCCCUUAUAAUUACUAAUCAUCAAUUCCCAGUGAUGCUGAUUGCAAUUAAAUCAAAUAAAACCUGACUUUAACAUUUUCUUUUUUAUUGAAAUAUUCCCUCCCAAUAAUUCUCACAUACAUUCCUUAUUUGAUGACACUUUAGCUCAUAUGACACUGGAGAAGACCUGAAGCCGGAAUUAUUACACUUCCAAACACUUUAAGUGUCCCUCUUCAUUCAGCUUGGUUGGAACUGGACCGAACAGAUACGGAUAAAGAUGAAAGACUGCCAAAGCAUUACCAAGCAAUGAACCAACAAGAGGCUCACUUUUAUACCUUUCAUUUUUGCACUUCUAUUCAAAGAAGGCCAAACUUGAUGAUUAUUUUAGAAUCCUGUUAAAUCACUUUUUUGACAAUUAUUAUUUUUGUAUAUACUAUUUAUGUUGUAAACGUUUUUUUUCUACUAGAGCUAUAAAUUAUUUUAAAACUAUUCAGUUCAAGAGUCUUGAGAAUUCUUCUGCUGGUGGGUUUCCAUGUUUUCUUCUUUCUUCAGGACAGAGACAUAAUACAAGUUAUUCAGGAAGGACACAACGACUUUAAUUCAGUUUACAGACUGCUUAGGAGGCUGAUAAAGAUACUAUCUGUUA
This is a long non-coding RNA of Cyprinodon tularosa, 1257 nucleotides long. RefSeq lists it as uncharacterized. The record is from RefSeq and is a predicted model, not a curated record. The transcript is spliced from 2 exons. Lineage: Eukaryota; Metazoa; Chordata; Actinopteri; Cyprinodontiformes; Cyprinodontidae.